Molecule: ribosomal RNA, 509 nt
Filed under: uncultured Glomeromycotina
Lineage: Eukaryota; Fungi; Glomeromycota
Description: partial small subunit ribosomal RNA
Rfam family: Eukaryotic small subunit ribosomal RNA
Source: RNAcentral
CCAAUAGUGUAUAUUAAGGUUGCUGCGGUUAAAAAGCUCGUAGUUGAAUUUCGGGAUUGAUGCAUCGGUCGUGCCUUAAGGGGUAUGAGCUGGUGUGGUCAAUUUCUUACCUUCUGGUGAAUUGUGAUGUCCUCCUUAAUUGGGUGUUUCAAUGAACUAGGACUUUUUACUUUGAAAAAAUUAGAGUGUUUAAAGCAGGCAAUAUUUGCUUGAAUACAUUAGCAUGGAAUAAUAAAAUAGGACAAUGAUUCUAUUUUGUUGGUUUCUAGGAUCACUGUAAUGAUUAAUAGGGAUAGUUGGGGGCAUUAGUAUUCAAUUGUCAGAGGUGAAAUUCUUGGAUUAAUUGAAGACUAACUACUGCGAAAGCAUUUGCCAAGGAUAUUUUCAUUAAUCGAGAACGAAAGUUAGGGGAUCGAAGACGAUUAGGUACGUCGUAGUCUUAACCAUAAACUAUGCCGACUAGGAAUCAGACAACGUUAAAUUUUUAAUGACUUGUUUGGCACCUUACG